UUCCGUGUUCCAUGUUUUAUUACGAAUCUGUGUGUUUUCCUCUGCUUUCCUCUGUUUUAUAUUACUUAUAGGUGCCGUAUUUAUGUAUGUUAUGUAAUCUGCUUCUGUGCUUUAUAAUGUGUUUGUGUGGUAUCUCGUGCCUUGAGCCGGGGGUCUAUCGGAAACAGCCUUUCUACUUCUUUAGAGGUAGAGGUAUGGACUGCGUACAUCUUACCCCCUAGACCCCACUAGGUGGGAAUACACUGGGUUUGUUGUUGUUGUUGUUGUAGAUGAGUAGACAUAAUCCUGACAAUCUCAGAAGCUCACACAUGUAAUUGUCUUUAAAACAUAACUCACAAUGGUUAUUAUUUAAUGUCUUAAUAGCCCACUUUAACGGACACUUCUUUUCAAAAAUCCCUCAGUUUAAAAGAGUUUGCAAAAGCACAACUUUUAGUGCUUUGCUACUAGUUACUUUUCAAUAUUGAGGCACGGUGUUUAAGAAAGAAAGAAAACACUUUUGAACUUGUGGCCUUAAACAUGGGGGUUUUGUUGCUGUAAUAACAUGUCACUAAUGGUUAAAUGGUACGAUCAACUUAAAUGUUUUCAAAUAUAGAAGGUGUCAAUGUUUUUGGGAUAGACUAAUAAAGAAAUGGUGUCACAAAAUAUGGAAUGGAAGAGUAAUAUAUGGCUGUGAGGAGAGAUUUAUUCGUUCUGUCUGAAUCUGAUUUAGUAUAUAGAAGAGGGGGUAUCAUAUUAUGAAGAGAGAGCGCAGCUCAAACCCAAGUUUCCAUCUGCUCUAUGUAAAAAACAAUUUUUUUGUCGAAUACAACGUUACAUUGUGUGGCUUCACCUCAUAUAUAAAGAUAAGUUGCUAGCAGGAAAAAAUUUGCUCACCUCUUCUCAGCUAAUUGAUUAUUUUUCUCAAAAUACUUGAACUUUAAAAAGGACACAGGGCCAUAGUCCUCGUCUAGGAAUAUUUAAAACCCAUGACAAAUUUUGAAGAGAUGAAAGACAUAAAACAAACAGCAGAUAAGAAGCAGCUGCCUUCUUGAAAGAAGUAAUAAGAUAAUCUAAUAACUGAGCAGAAGCAUGAUAGUUAUGGUGCAACACCCCUUAAAGCUUGUCAUCUUCUUUAUCUCAUAAUCCUCUUAAUAACCACUUCGGCAAGAAAAGAAGAAAAGGUUUUUCGUCUCGAUUCCUUCACCCAUUUUCUAUAUCCACUAUCACAUUACUUUUGCUAGUUAAUAUUUCCACCAUUCCAUCAACUCUUUAAAAAGAUCAAGUUAGGCACAGAAACAAAUUUGUGCUCUGUAUCUAAUACAUUAUGGCUGAUAAAUUGAUUAAAAUACCGCCUAAACGGCUAGACCUUCAUAGUAAAUAUUUUAAAGAUCACAAACUGGAAAAGCAAUUACAAACUUUGUCCAAGGUCCAUUUACUUUUAUGAUAUAGAAGUAUUUAAGUAAUUACAACUACAACAACAACAUACCUAGUGUAUUCCCACAAAGUGGCGUUUGGGGAGGGUAAAGUGUACGCAGUCCAUACCACUACCUCAGAUGAAGUAGAGUUGUUUCCGAUGGACCCCAGGCACAAGACAACUAAC
Molecule: long non-coding RNA, 1579 nt
Filed under: Capsicum annuum
Lineage: Eukaryota; Viridiplantae; Streptophyta; Magnoliopsida; Solanales; Solanaceae
Description: long non-coding RNA (CANN_LNC019284)
Source: RNAcentral